CGGUAGCUCAGUCGGUAGAGCAAGGGACUGAAAAUCCCUGUGUCGGCGGUUCGAUUCCGCCCUG
Molecule: transfer RNA, 64 nt
Filed under: human gut metagenome
Also listed under: 2 other names
Rfam family: tRNA
About the family: Transfer RNA (tRNA) molecules are approximately 80 nucleotides in length. Their secondary structure includes four short double-helical elements and three loops (D, anti-codon, and T loops). Further hydrogen bonds mediate the characteristic L-shaped molecular structure. tRNAs have two regions of fundamental functional importance: the anti-codon, which is responsible for specific mRNA codon recognition, and the 3' end, to which the tRNAs corresponding amino acid is attached (by aminoacyl-tRNA synthetases). tRNAs cope with the degeneracy of the genetic code in two manners: having more than one tRNA (with a specific anti-codon) for a particular amino acid; and 'wobble' base-pairing, i.e. permitting non-standard base-pairing at the 3rd anti-codon position.
Source: RNAcentral